Molecule: ribosomal RNA, 449 nt
Filed under: uncultured bacterium
Lineage: Bacteria
Description: partial 16S ribosomal RNA
Rfam family: Bacterial small subunit ribosomal RNA
Source: RNAcentral
CCCAGACUCCUACGGGAGGCAGCAGUGGGGGAUAUUGCACAAUGGGGGGAACCCUGAUGCAGCGACGCCGCGUGGGUGAAGGAGCGUUUCGGCGCGUAAAGCCCUAUCGGCAGGGAAGAAGGAGGACGGUACCUGACUAAGAAGCCCCGGCUAACUACGUGCCAGCAGCCGCGGUAAUACGUAGGGGGCAAGCGUUAUCCGGAUUUACUGGGUGUAAAGGGGGCGCAGACGGCAGCGCAAGCCAGGAGUGAAAGCCCGGGGCCCAACCCCGGGACUGCUCUUGGAACUGCGCGGCUGGAGUGCAGGAGGGGCAGGCGGAAUUCCUGGUGUAGCGGUGAAAUGCGUAGAUAUCAGGAGGAACACCGGUGGCGAAGGCGGCCUGCUGGACUGCAACUGACGUUGAGGCCCGAAAGCGUGGGGAGCAAACAGGAUUAGAUACCCCAGUACCA